Molecule: RNA transcript, 2210 nt
Organism: Panicum virgatum (switchgrass)
Lineage: Eukaryota; Viridiplantae; Streptophyta; Magnoliopsida; Poales; Poaceae
Gene name: phosphoglucomutase, cytoplasmic 2-like
Exons: 18
Source: RefSeq, a predicted model, not a curated record
AUGAUCCAUCCGGUUGUGCUCUCCCUGCCCUCCGUCGCUAUAAUAGCGCCACGCCCCCGUCGCCAUCGUCACCAUACCACCACUCCCUCCCGAUCCCUCCACCGCCACCGCCACCGCCACCGCCUCCUCCGCCUCACCCCUCUUCUCGCCUCGUGCGUCGACCGGCGGCCGAUCGUCUGCGGCCCAGACAUGGGGCUCUUCACUGUCACGAAGCAGGCCACCACGCCCUUCGACGGCCAGAAGCCCGGCACCUCCGGCCUCCGCAAGAAGGUUACUGUAUUCCAGCAGCCUCAUUAUCUGCAGAACUUUGUCCAAUCAACAUUCAAUGCCCUUCCUGCUGAUCAAGUAAAAGGUGCGACCAUUGUUGUCUCUGGUGAUGGCCGCUAUUUCUCGAAAGAUGCUGUUCAGAUCAUAACAAAAAUGGCUGCUGCCAACGGAGUAAGACGUGUUUGGGUUGGACUAAACAGUCUCAUGUCAACCCCUGCUGUAUCUGCUGUUAUCCGUGAAAGAACCGGUGCAGAUGGAUCAAAGGCUACCGGUGCCUUCAUCCUGACAGCAAGCCAUAACCCAGGUGGUCCGACUGAGGAUUUUGGGAUCAAAUACAAUAUGGGAAAUGGUGGGCCUGCACCUGAAUCCGUUACUGAUAGUAUUUUCUCUAAUACAAAGACAAUCUCUGAAUACCUCAUCACUGAAGACCUUCCAGAUGUUGAUAUUUCUGUUGCUGGUGUCACUAGCUUCAGUGGGCCUGAAGGCCCCUUUGAUGUGGAUGUCUUUGACUCCAGUGUAGAUUACAUAAAGUUGAUGAAGUCAAUCUUUGACUUUGAAGCAAUAAAAAAGCUGCUGACCUCUCCAAAGUUUACGUUCUGCUAUGAUGCCCUCCAUGGUGUUGCUGGAGCUUAUGCCAAACACAUCUUUGUGGAAGAGCUUGGUGCUGAUGAAAGCUCACUGUUGAAUUGUGUCCCAAAGGAGGACUUUGGAGGUGGUCAUCCGGAUCCUAACCUCACCUAUGCAAAAAAGUUGGUUGAACGGAUGGGUCUCGGAAAGUCAUCCUCAAAUGCUGAGCCCCCUGAAUUUGGUGCCGCAGCUGAUGGAGAUGCUGACCGCAACAUGAUUCUGGGUAAAAGAUUCUUUGUGACACCAUCGGACUCUGUUGCUAUUAUCGCGGCCAAUGCUGUUCAAUCAAUUCCUUACUUUGCUUCUGGCCUGAAGGGAGUUGCCAGGAGCAUGCCAACAUCUGCUGCCCUUGAUGUUGUUGCAAAGAAUUUGAAUCUCAAGUUCUUUGAGGUUCCUACUGGGUGGAAAUUUUUCGGGAACUUGAUGGAUGCUGGAAUGUGCUCAAUCUGUGGUGAAGAAAGCUUUGGCACCGGUUCUGACCAUAUUCGUGAGAAGGAUGGUAUUUGGGCUUGUGCUUGCAUGGCUUUCUAUUCUUGCUUUCAAGAACAAGGACAACCUUGGAGGAGACAAGCUUGUCACCGUUGAAGAUAUUGUCCGUCAGCACUGGGCCACAUAUGGUCGCCAUUAUUACACACGCUAUGAUUAUGAGAAUGUUGACGCAGGGGCUGCUAAGGAGCUUAUGGCAAACCUGGUCAGCAUGCAGUCAUCACUUUCUGAUGUUAACAAGUUGAUCAAGGAGAUCCGGUCUGAUGUCUCUGAAGUAGUUUCAGCUGACGAGUUUGAGUACAAGGACCCUGUUGAUGGCUGUGUCCAAGCACCAGGGUAUCCGAUACCUCUUUGGAGAUGGUUCACGACUGGUGUUCCGUCUCUCUGGAACUGGUUCUGUUGGUGCCACCAUUCGUGUCUACAUUGAGCAGUACGAAAAGGAUUCCUCCAAAACCGGCAGGGAUUCACAGGAUGCCCUUGCUCCACUGGUUGAUGUUGCGCUCAAGCUCUCAAAGAUGCAAGAGUACACUGGCCGCUCCGCCCCCACCGUGAUCACAUAAAAUUUUGAAGAGCCCGCAUUUUUGAAUGAAUUGAGGCACUUACACACACUCUCCUUCCGGCCUCGUUUGAUAGCUUUUUGUUGCAUCUCGCCUCUGAAUAAAAUGUAUGUAUCAGACUUGUCUCGUUUUGUUGCCCAUACUGCAGGGUGCAGGCUCAGCCGCUGGCACAGCAUGCGGCAAUAAUCUCGUCACUGUGUUGUAAUUGAGAGCGUUUUUCUCGUAAGUCGUAAUAUAUCAGAUGCCAUUUUGGUUUGAGCAUUUGCGUAUCAA